UCGGAACAUAGCUCAGCGGCGAGAGCAGUCUCAUGAGUAGACAAGGGCGAAGGUUCGAGUCCUUCUGUUCCGAU
This 74-nucleotide transfer RNA is filed under the name uncultured Ruminococcus sp. Its description in RNAcentral is "tRNA-Ser(tga)". It matches the Rfam family "tRNA". From Rfam's summary of the family: Transfer RNA (tRNA) molecules are approximately 80 nucleotides in length. Their secondary structure includes four short double-helical elements and three loops (D, anti-codon, and T loops). Lineage: Bacteria; Bacillati; Bacillota; Clostridia; Eubacteriales; Oscillospiraceae. The record is from RNAcentral.